RNAcentral lists this ribosomal RNA (465 nucleotides) under Vreelandella stevensii. RNAcentral describes it as "partial 16S ribosomal RNA". It matches the Rfam family "Bacterial small subunit ribosomal RNA", at positions 338 to 795 of the family's 1533-position model. The record is from RNAcentral. Lineage: Bacteria; Pseudomonadati; Pseudomonadota; Gammaproteobacteria; Oceanospirillales; Halomonadaceae.
CCUACGGGAGGCAGCAGUGGGGAAUAUUGGACAAUGGGGGGAACCCUGAUCCAGCCAUGCCGCGUGUGUGAAGAAGGCCCUCGGGUUGUAAAGCACUUUCAGUGAGGAAGAACGCCUGGUGGUUAAUACCCAUCAGGAAAGACAUCACUCACAGAAGAAGCACCGGCUAACUCCGUGCCAGCAGCCGCGGUAAUACGGAGGGUGCGAGCGUUAAUCGGAAUUACUGGGCGUAAAGCGCGCGUAGGUGGCUUGAUAAGCCGGUUGUGAAAGCCCCGGGCUCAACCUGGGAACGGCAUCCGGAACUGUCAAGCUAGAGUGCAGGAGAGGAAGGUAGAAUUCCCGGUGUAGCGGUGAAAUGUGUAGAGAUCGGGAGGAAUACCAGUGGCGAAGGCGGCCUUCUGGACUGACACUGACACUGAGGUGCGAAAGCGUGGGUAGCAAACAGGAUUAGAUACCCCAGUAGUC